GGUUAGACGAGAAAUUUGAGUAGAAUGAGUGUUUUCAUUAGUUAACGUUAGAUUCUCAAAGUUAUUUUAAUUUCUUUUUUGGGUGAAAUCAGUUUAAGUAGUUAUUAAUUCUUAGAGAAUUCAUAGGAACUAAAAAGCUUAGCUUAAAAACCAGGAUUAGAUACCCUGUUAUUCUGAGUAAUAUGCUAACAGGGUAGUAAAAGUUGUUCUUCAAACCCAAAGAUUUUGGCGGCACUUUAUCCAAAUAGAGGAGCUUGCCCCUUAAUCGAUAAUCCUCGUUUUAUCUUACCAUUAUUUGUAUAGUUUGUAUACCGCCGUUGACAGAUUACUUUUAGAGAAUGUUUUCUAAUGAAAAAAUUUUUGUACUUCAGGUCAAGGUGCAGCUUAUAUAGUGGAGGAGGUGAGCUACAAUUUUCUUUAGAAAGACGGAUUCUAAAUUCUGAAGUUGGUUGAAGGUGGAUUUAUUAGUAAGAUGAUUUAAGAAAAAUUAUCUGAAUAGCGCAAUAAAGUGUGUACAUAUCGCCCGUCACUCUC
Molecule: ribosomal RNA, 534 nt
Filed under: Daphnia longispina group lineage IV
Lineage: Eukaryota; Metazoa; Arthropoda; Branchiopoda; Diplostraca; Daphniidae
Description: partial 12S ribosomal RNA
Source: RNAcentral